GAGGGUAUAGCUCAGUGGUGGAGUGCAUGCUUAGCAUGCACGAGGUCCUGGGUUCAAUCCCUGGUACCUCCA
RNAcentral lists this transfer RNA (72 nucleotides) under Camelus bactrianus (Bactrian camel). It matches the Rfam family "tRNA". Rfam says of the family: Transfer RNA (tRNA) molecules are approximately 80 nucleotides in length. Their secondary structure includes four short double-helical elements and three loops (D, anti-codon, and T loops). The record is from Rfam by way of RNAcentral. RNAcentral also lists the same sequence under 2 other names. Lineage: Eukaryota; Metazoa; Chordata; Mammalia; Artiodactyla; Camelidae.